GAAAGAAGAAAACAAGACACACAGAUGCGAAAAGAACCAGUCAGAUGCAAAGGAGCUGGUUGAAUGUUAACCCUGACAACAGCAAGUGCUCCUCAAAGUUCCACGUCAUCAAAAGAAGUGGGAAGAUGGUGCAAAGGAAGAACUCUGGUCUGAACCCUCAUGUAUCCUCCUUCAUUAAAGGGAUAGUUCACC
Molecule: long non-coding RNA, 192 nt
Organism: Carassius auratus (goldfish)
Lineage: Eukaryota; Metazoa; Chordata; Actinopteri; Cypriniformes; Cyprinidae
Exons: 3
Source: RefSeq, a predicted model, not a curated record